GCCCCCUCGCAGCCGCCGCCGCAGCCCGCCUGGCUUCCCGUGAGGUCUCCCUGGGAUCGGGAGUGAGAAGCAAACUCUGAAGUUGUGCCCGAAGAAAAGUUGCCCGACUAGAGAAGUCGGGGGGAUCCCGAGUGUCGCCACCCGCUCAAUCCUGUUUGGUCCUGGGUUCUUCCUGCUUUUUCUGCAAACCCAGGGGAAGGGCAGGGUUUGCCUAAGGAAGCUUGCCGUAGUCUUAUGCAGACAAGGGGAGAAAGGAAACGACACGUCUUCAGAGCGGCACCUCGCCUUGUUUAGUCUUCUCAUCUCCUGGCCAGGGUUGGAAUGGAGGCUGAGGGAGGCCUGAGCAGUGCUGGUGCCGGCUCUCCCCAGUCGUAGCCCCUCCUAAAGAAAACACGUCUGAGCCCUCGUGGUGAAGAACCAAACCCAACAAAAGUUGGAUCUUUUUCGGAGAGGGGCCGGGGGCGCCGAGCCCGGCGACUCCGUUCGCGGAGCGCUCGACAGCGGCGGAGCGCUCGCCGCGGCUGGGACUUGACCUGCAGAGGGCAAUAGUUGGACGCAAAUGCCAACAAAGGCAGCGGGGCUCGCUGGCUCGGCGCCGCGGCCGGGACCCGAGAAUGCUGUGUAGCCCACAUUCAUCUGAGAGGCGAUCGCCGGGGACAUGGGAAGCAGGAGCAGCCGCCGAUGUGUGAAAGCAACGAGACAUGGCCAGCCAGAGGCGCCGGGGUCCCUUCACGGGGUUUGUUAACAUGGUAAUCCGGCAUCAGGAGAGAAAGCUGCUUUCUGCUGCCUAGAGCCCAUUCCCCACCACACAUCAGAUGACUCCCUGGCUUUACACACAGUUGGAGUUCUGCUCGAAACCUGGAUUUAAAGGGAAUCUGUUGCUGCGUAUGACAUCUCUCGCAAGCUCCCAGAGAGAAUUGAUGGAGCAUACAGCUAGGGAAUAGGAUACCAGAGAAGCACAGAGAAAGAAUCCAGGCAAUCAUCAGGAUGGGAAGGUUCAGCGUCCACUGGAUAUGGGACAAGAUCGCUUGGCAACCCUUGUGGAUUCUCCUUCUUCUGGAGGCGAAUUAUAGUUAUGGAUUUAUUGUCCCGGUGCAGCACUUCCACCAGCAGCAGCAACAGCAGCAGCUUUCUGACUCUCUUCGGUGACGGGUAUUCUUGGGUGGAUAAUACGGAUUACGUUGUUAUUGCUUAAGAAUACGCGUAGUCGAGGAGAGUACCGGCGGCGGGCAGGCAGGCAGGCAGCGCGACCGCCCCCAGCCCACCAGCUGGCUCCUCACCUCCUCUAGUUGCCAAGCCCUACAGCCCAAGUUUCCUGGACUAGCCCACCUUCCUUCCUGCCUCGCCAAAUGACUCAUGGAAAGCUGUUGAUCUUCAGUCUAUGGAGACAAUCUAACAUCAGCAACUUUCUGGGGGUGCAGCUACAAGGUGAGCCUCGGACUCUGCCUAUGGUCUGUGCUCCCAGAUGACAGCCCCGCGAUGGCAGAUGGAGGGACAUGCUGGCACUGCAUCCUUUGCUGCUCCCAGAGCUGCCACACGCCAUGGGACCCCAGCUGCUGGAUGCCUGACCCAGCUGGACUGCUGCUGGAGAUGUGCUGGGGCUGGCUCAGCCCUGCUUGCUGCUGCCUGUCUGCCUCAUUCUUCUGAGUUAUGCCCCAGCCCGCUCCUGCCCUGUUGUGCCGCUGCCUCCAGGCUGUGUUGAGUUUUCAAUUAUCACAAUAUUCAGUGCAGAUGCUAUGCAAAACAGCCAGUGAGGCUGAGCACGCUGAACUCAGGAGAAUCACAGUUAAAUAAAAGUACUGCUAUGAUACCAGGAGGCUGAUUGGAACCACAAGAUACCAGUGUGGUAUCCUGUGGCUUUUAUGUUGGUAGAUGUAGAUUUCAGCCAUUAGAGUCUAGCUAUCCAACAGAUAACAACUAGAGGAAAUGGAUUUAGGUAUCUUCAGUUGUGAGUAACUGAUCCACAUUUGCCAAUAAAUGCAGAACCUGGUAAACUGCAGAAGAAAGAAAACAUUUGAGAUACCUACAAAUACAUCCAGGCAUGUACUCUGGGGUAGCAUCUAACUGUGUGCAACUUAAACUCUCUGAACACAAAAUACACUCAAAGUGGUACAUCAAGAGAGCUCUGACUUCAGAGAAACAAUGUGUGGCUACUUGUCAACCCCAAAUUCAGGCAAGCAAACAACCAGCAAGGGUAGGUCUCAACUUCUCUAUUUGUACAUGCAGUAACAAGCUCCCAGAUGAUAAUGAUAUUGUGAUACCCCCAUAUGUGGGGGUAAAAGACUAUGACAGAAGAGAAAGAAAUAAGCAAUAAAUACAAUAAUGUCAAACUUUCCUGUUAUUAACUUCUAGAAAAGCCCAACAGCUGGAAUUUUAAAAUGUUUUACAUAGACAAAUGUAAAGAGAACAACACAUCGAGUGUGGUUUUUUCCAAAGGAAAAUGAAAUAGGCAUACAGAGAAAAUUAUUAUAUUUAGUACUCUUAGGGCAAAUUCUGGUUAAGGACUACGAAAUAAUUUGAAAAUAUUAAUGAUUUAGCCUCACAGCUAGCUUUUAGGGAGAUAAUAAUGAUAAUUAUUACUGUAAAUAAAUAGUAUUAUUAUCAUUCUUAUUCAGAAGAAUGGAGUAUUGAUGCAUAGAAAAUUCCAUAUUUGUCCAAAAUACAGAAUAUAUUUGUUUGUGUUUUACUACUAUAACCAUCCUUCUCAAGAACUAUUGUAUAUAUUAGGAUUAUCCUUUUCCAAAUACUCUUUGAUAUACUGUUCAGUUUAUCAGUUCUAAAACCCAACCAACCAAGCUUCCUUGUGAAACAGUGCCAGUCAACAUCUCCAUUUGCAUGUGAAUUCUCUAGCAGCAAGUCCUGGUUAAAAAAAAGAAAAAAAUAAAAAAAAAGGAAUCAUGAAAAUCAGUACAAAAAAAAUCUGUCAAGGCCCCAUCUGUGACUGGGUAUCAGAAUAUCACCAAGAAGCUCUGAGGAACAAAGUUCAUUCCAAGUCUAACACAUAGAGGAUUUUGGUCGAUGAAAUUAAUUCAGGCAGGGAGAAAUGAGAGUGCAUACCAUGAAAAACUCUGUUCCUCCACUGAGGAUCAAAGAAAAGAGGCAUCACUGUGUGUGGUCUUGGGUUUGGUGCACAAAGCCAUGCUUAAACACGACAAUAAUCAGUGUGCUCAUGUCUUGUUUUGAUAGCCAGCUGCUCCUCCGAGGAGAGCCAGGGAAUGAGGGACCUCUGGUCCUGGCAAGAUGAGGACUCCGAUUGCAUGCGACUGCUGCAAAAAGCAAGAUUUACAGCCAGCUACCUGAAGCAGUAUGGAAACAAAAUUAUAGUCUCUACCCUGGCCUUGAAAAUCCCUCUACAAACAUGUUUAUUUCCUUCUGAAUGGGAAUAUGUAAAGGAUGGGGACACUUAUUUGUAGGCUAUUUUUAUAUCUCCUCUUCAGGAUCUGAAUCUUGCAUAUUAAUGAACUACAGGAAAUAGGAAAACCAAACAUUAACACCAUUCUAAUGCAGCAUACUAUUUUUCUUUCCCUUUUUUAAACUGUUAGAGUAUGCAAAUGUUCAGUUAACUGGUCCUUAUGUUUUCUCUUUAUUGAAUUGCUUUCACUAUGGCAAAUAAAUAUUCAUAAAGAAAUGUGGACAAUAAAUCAUUUCAAAUAGUUCAAAGCCA
Molecule: long non-coding RNA, 3664 nt
Organism: Melospiza georgiana
Lineage: Eukaryota; Metazoa; Chordata; Aves; Passeriformes; Passerellidae
Exons: 6
Source: RefSeq, a predicted model, not a curated record